Molecule: ribosomal RNA, 363 nt
Filed under: Salmonella enterica
Lineage: Bacteria; Pseudomonadati; Pseudomonadota; Gammaproteobacteria; Enterobacterales; Enterobacteriaceae
Also listed under: 1 other name
Description: partial 23S ribosomal RNA
Rfam family: Bacterial large subunit ribosomal RNA
Source: RNAcentral
UUUAGGUAGCGCCUCGUGAAUUCAUCUCCGGGGGUAGAGCACUGUUUCGGCUAGGGGGCCAUCCCGGCUUACCAACCCGAUGCAAACUGCGAAUACCGGAGAAUGUUAUCACGGGAGACACACGGCGGGUGCUAACGUCCGUCGUGAAGAGGGAAACAACCCAGACCGCCAGCUAAGGUCCCAAAGUCAUGGUUAAGUGGGAAACGAUGUGGGAAGGCCCAGACAGCCAGGAUGUUGGCUUAGAAGCAGCCAUCAUUUAAAGAAAGCGUAAUAGCUCACUGGUCGAGUCGGCCUGCGCGGAAGAUGUAACGGGGCUAAACCAUGCACCGAAGCUGCGGCAGCGACACUGUGUGUUGUUGGGUA